GAGUCAGAGAAUCCCUAGCAGGCUCUGAGCUGUCAGUGUGGAGCCCAACGCAGGGCUCAAACUCACAAACCGUGAGAUCAUGGCCUGAGCCGAAAUCAAGAGUUGGACGCUUAACCAACUGAGCCACCCAGACGCCCUGCCUCCUCUUACCAAAAAUGUUAAGAUACUUCCUAUGAAGAAACAAUUCCGGGACAAGCAGGCUGCCUAGUUCAUCUUGUUAUGUUCCAGUUGUAUUUAAUCCAUGGAUUUCACCGUUAAGACCAACAGACGCUGUAGUAGGACGUCAGGCACUGUUGGUGGGAACGUACAUCGGUGCAGCUACUGAGGAAAACAGUACAGGGGUUCCUAAAAACCACCACCUGACCGGACAAUCCACGUCUGGGUACAGAUCCAAAGGAAAUGAAAUCAGUGCCUCCCAGGGAAAUCUGCAUUCCCAUGUUCCCAGCAGCACGAUUCACAGCGGCCGCGUCGUGGAAACAACCAAAGGGCCGCGGAGAGACGAGUGGGUAAAGAAAACGUGGUGUACGUAGGCGGAAUGUAAUCUAGUGACGACACGCAUGACCCUGGAGGCCAACACGCUGGGUGAGGGAAGCCAGGCACAGGACAAACACCGCAUGACCCCGCUUCCCUGAGAAUCUACAGAAAACUCAGGGGAGCAGGGGCCGGGCGGAGGGAACGCACGCCAGCAGCAGUUCAGGCUGCGCACCAGCAAGUGCAGACAUUACAGCACAGCGCGGUGCCCGCCGUCAACACGGACCACGUACUGGAAAAUUCGCCAAGGAGAAAGUUUAUGAAACCAAAAAGUUGGAAAGAAUUUCCCAAAAGCCCGGUACGGCGGUGCAGCCACAGGACACAGAAGCACAGCUCCCAGAGGCUAUAAGUGUGUCACCUUCAACACUGCUGACGAUGCACGUCCUGUCUGCAGGAAAGCAGUUUUGGUGGCUUGAGGGUUUUUUCUCUGUACUUUUGCAGUGAACAUGCGACACGUAUAACCAGAAAAAACAUUGACGUGAUACAAUAAUGCCUACCUUGUUUUCCUCAUAGUGGACAUUAUGAAGAUCAGAAACGUUUUAAAAUGCCCUGAAAAAUCAUAACUUACCCUAUGUGCAUAGUCUUACUACCACGGAAGUUCUCCCAGGGCAGGGGCUAGGCUUUCAAGUCAACACCAUUCUCUAGAGUGAGGCACACACACACACAGUAAGCACUUACUGAACUCAUGCUGAAUAUACAAAUAAAUGCAUGAAUGUC
Molecule: long non-coding RNA, 1248 nt
Organism: Neofelis nebulosa (Clouded leopard)
Lineage: Eukaryota; Metazoa; Chordata; Mammalia; Carnivora; Felidae
Exons: 2
Source: RefSeq, a predicted model, not a curated record